CAUGCAGUCGAACGGUGAUGUCAGAGCUUGCUCUGGCGGAUCAGUGGCGAACGGGUGAGUAACACGUGAGUAACCUGCCCCCGACUCUGGGAUAACUGCUAGAAAUGGUAGCUAAUACCGGAUAUGACGAUUGGCCGCAUGGUCUGGUCGUGGAAAGAAUUUCGGUUGGGGAUGGACUCGCGGCCUAUCAGGUUGUUGGUGAGGUAAUGGCUCACCAAGCCUACGACGGGUAGCCGGCCUGAGAGGGUGACCGGCCACACUGGGACUGAGACACGGCCCAGACUCCUACGGGAGGCAGCAGUGGGGAAUAUUGCACAAUGGGCGAAAGCCUGAUGCAGCAACGCCGCGUGAGGGAUGACGGCCUUCGGGUUGUAAACCUCUUUUAGUAGGGAAGAAGCGAAAGUGACGGUACCUGCAGAAAAAGCACCGGCUAACUACGUGCCAGCAGCCGCGGUAAUACGUAGGGUGCAAGCGUUGUCCGGAAUUAUUGGGCGUAAAGAGCUCGUAGGCGGUUUGUCGCGUCUGCUGUGAAAUCCCGAGGCUCAACCUCGGGUCUGCAGUGGGUACGGGCAGACUAGAGUGCGGUAGGGGAGAUUGGAAUUCCUGGUGUAGCGGUGGAAUGCGCAGAUAUCAGGAGGAACACCGAUGGCGAAGGCAGAUCUCUGGGCCGUAACUGACGCUGAGGAGCGAAAGCAUGGGGAGCGAACAGGAUUAGAUACCCUGGUAGUCCAUGCCGUAAACGUUGGGAACUAGAUGUGGGGACCAUUCCACGGUCUCCGUGUCGCAGCUAACGCAUUAAGUUCCCCGCCUGGGGAGUACGGCCGCAAGGCUAAAACUCAAAGGAAUUGACGGGGGCCCGCACAAGCGGCGGAGCAUGCGGAUUAAUUCGAUGCAACGCGAAGAACCUUACCAAGGCUUGACAUAUACCGGAAACAUGCAGAAAUGUGUGCCCCGCAAGGUCGGUAUACAGGUGGUGCAUGGUUGUCGUCAGCUCGUGUCGUGAGAUGUUGGGUUAAGUCCCGCAACGAGCGCAACCCUCGUUCUAUGUUGCCAGCACGUAAUGGUGGGAACUCAUAGGAGACUGCCGGGGUCAACUCGGAGGAAGGUGGGGAUGACGUCAAAUCAUCAUGCCCCUUAUGUCUUGGGCUUCACGCAUGCUACAAUGGCCGGUACAAAGGGCUGCGAUACCGUAAGGUGGAGCGAAUCCCAAAAAGCCGGUCUCAGUUCGGAUUGAGGUCUGCAACUCGACCUCAUGAAGUCGGAGUCGCUAGUAAUCGCAGAUCAGCAACGCUGCGGUGAAUACGUUCCCGGGCCUUGUACACACCGCCCGUCAAGUCAUGAAAGUCGGUAACACCCGAAGCCAGUGGCCUAACCGCAAGGGAGGAGCGUCCGAA
RNAcentral lists this ribosomal RNA (1394 nucleotides) under Clavibacter michiganensis subsp. michiganensis. RNAcentral describes it as "bacterial SSU rRNA". It matches the Rfam family "Bacterial small subunit ribosomal RNA". Lineage: Bacteria; Bacillati; Actinomycetota; Actinomycetes; Micrococcales; Microbacteriaceae. The record is from RNAcentral.